UCCCUGCUGGUGUAAUCGGCAGCACGGCGCGCUCUGGCCGCGUCGAUCCAGGUUCGAGUCCUGGGCGGGGAUCAA
RNAcentral lists this transfer RNA (75 nucleotides) under Pseudoclavibacter sp. AY1H1. RNAcentral's name for it is "tRNA-Gln". It matches the Rfam family "tRNA". Rfam says of the family: Transfer RNA (tRNA) molecules are approximately 80 nucleotides in length. Their secondary structure includes four short double-helical elements and three loops (D, anti-codon, and T loops). Further hydrogen bonds mediate the characteristic L-shaped molecular structure. tRNAs have two regions of fundamental functional importance: the anti-codon, which is responsible for specific mRNA codon recognition, and the 3' end, to which the tRNAs corresponding amino acid is attached (by aminoacyl-tRNA synthetases). tRNAs cope with the degeneracy of the genetic code in two manners: having more than one tRNA (with a specific anti-codon) for a particular amino acid; and 'wobble' base-pairing, i.e. permitting non-standard base-pairing at the 3rd anti-codon position. The record is from RNAcentral. Lineage: Bacteria; Bacillati; Actinomycetota; Actinomycetes; Micrococcales; Microbacteriaceae.